CCUACGGGUUGCAGCAGUGGGGAAUAUUGCACAAUGGGCGCAAGCCUGAUGCAGCCAUGCCGCGUGUAUGAAGAAGGCCUUCGGGUUGUAAAGUACUUUCAGCGGGGAGGAUGGGAGUAAAGUUAAUACCUUUGCUCGUUGACGUUACCCGCAGAAGAAGCACCGGCUAACUCCGUGCCAGCAGCCGCGGUAAUACGGAGGGUGCAAGCGUUAAUCGGAAUUACUGGGCGUAAAGCGCACGCAGGCGGUUUGUUAAGUCAGAUGUGAAAUCCCCGGGCUCAACCUGGGAACUGCAUCUGAUACUGGCAAGCUUGAGUCUCGUAGAGGGGGGUAGAAUUCCAGGUGUAGCGGUGAAAUGCGUAGAGAUCUGGAGGAAUACCGGUGGCGAAGGCGGCCCCCUGGACGAAGACUGACGCUCAGGUGCGAAAGCGUGGGGAGCAAACAGGAUUAGAUACCCGCGUAGUC
RNAcentral lists this ribosomal RNA (465 nucleotides) under uncultured bacterium. RNAcentral describes it as "bacterial SSU rRNA". It matches the Rfam family "Bacterial small subunit ribosomal RNA", at positions 338 to 795 of the family's 1533-position model. The record is from RNAcentral.